CCUACGGGAGGCAGCAGUGGGGAAUAUUGGACAAUGGGCGCAAGCCUGAUCCAGCCAUGCCGCGUGGGUGAAGAAGGCCUUCGGGUUGUAAAGCCCUUUUGUUGGGAAAGAAAAGCAAUCGGUUAAUACCCGGUUGUUCUGACGGUACCCAAAGAAUAAGCACCGGCUAACUUCGUGCCAGCAGCCGCGGUAAUACGAAGGGUGCAAGCGUUACUCGGAAUUACUGGGCGUAAAGCGUGCGUAGGUGGUGAUUUAAGUCCGUUGUGAAAGCCCUGGGCUCAACCUGGGAAUUGCAGUGGAUACUGGGUCACUAGAAUGUGGUAGAGGGUAGCGGAAUUCCUGGUGUAGCAGUGAAAUGCGUAGAGAUCAGGAGGAACAUCCGUGGCGAAGGCGGCUACCUGGACCAACAUUGACACUGAGGCACGAAAGCGUGGGGAGCAAACAGGAUUAGAUACCCUUGUAGUC
RNAcentral lists this ribosomal RNA (465 nucleotides) under uncultured bacterium. RNAcentral's name for it is "bacterial SSU rRNA". It matches the Rfam family "Bacterial small subunit ribosomal RNA", at positions 338 to 795 of the family's 1533-position model. The record is from RNAcentral.